AGCUUCACCGGGUCGACGCCACGGGUGACCACCAGGUAGUCGCGCAGGGCGAUGCCGUGGCGGGCCUC
This 68-nucleotide small RNA is filed under the name Frankineae bacterium MT45. RNAcentral's name for it is "ASdes TB sRNA". It matches the Rfam family "ASdes TB sRNA". The record is from Rfam by way of RNAcentral. Lineage: Bacteria; Bacillati; Actinomycetota; Actinomycetes; Frankiales.